This 255-nucleotide ribosomal RNA is filed under the name Escherichia coli. RNAcentral's name for it is "partial 23S ribosomal RNA". It matches the Rfam family "Bacterial large subunit ribosomal RNA", at positions 227 to 520 of the family's 2925-position model. Lineage: Bacteria; Pseudomonadati; Pseudomonadota; Gammaproteobacteria; Enterobacterales; Enterobacteriaceae. The record is from RNAcentral.
AACCGAGAUUCCCCCAGUAGCGGCGAGCGAACGGGGAGCAGCCCAGAGCCUGAAUCAGUGUGUGUGUUAGUGGAAGCGUCUGGAAAGGCGCGCGAUACAGGGUGACAGCCCCGUACACAAAAAUGCAUAUACUGUGAGCUCGAUGAGUAGGGCGGGACACGUGGUAUCCUGUCUGAAUAUGGGGGGACCAUCCUCCAAGGCUAAAUACUCCUGACUGACCGAUAGUGAACCAGUACCGUGAGGGAAAGGCGAAAA